RNAcentral lists this long non-coding RNA (626 nucleotides) under Mytilus galloprovincialis (Mediterranean mussel). The record is from RNAcentral. Lineage: Eukaryota; Metazoa; Mollusca; Bivalvia; Mytilida; Mytilidae.
GCGUCUAUAACAACAAAGAACUAAGCCCCUCAAAACAAUAAAUCAAUUCAAAAUGAUGCAUCAAAUAACGAUGAAGUUGUCACCCUUUGAAACAUUUUAAAAAACAAGACAAGACUGCGUUAACUGCAUUUGAAUCUUGCAAAACAGUAGAAUUUUCCCUAUUUCAUUUUGCCGGGAACCACUGUCAGCAGCUGUUGCAUCUCCCGAAUCUUUUUCCUCUACAAAAACACCUUUUCACCUAUAACACUAUCCUUAAAAAGUCAGAAUAUGAGAAAUGAAAGAAAAUAUCGAACAUUUUGGAAACAAAUGGAAUAAGUCAAGAAACAUUUAGUACUAAAACGCAGACCUCACAUAAAACACGAAUAAGAAAAAAUAAAAUAUAAUAGAAUCAUAACUGUUUCCUGGUCAGCCUGCACAUUGCAGAUUUGAAAGAAAUAAUACCCGUUUUUUGAACCUAUCGAAUGAUUUACUGCACAAAACUGCAUAGAAAGCCAAAAAUACUUCAGGCUCCAUGAAAAAACAGUUGCGCGUACCUCCAGGAUAUGCUAACAAAGUGUUACGUUUACAUCUGGAGUAUCUUAACGACCUGUUACGCGUACCUUUAGCGCACGUAUAGCAAAAUGAAC